AUUGAACGCUGGCGGCAGGCUUAACACAUGCAAGUCGAGCGGAGAUGAGGUGCUUGCACCUUAUCUUAGCGGCGGACGGGUGAGUAAUGCUUAGGAAUCUGCCUAUUAGGGGGGGACAACAUUCCGAAAGGAAUGCUAAUACCGCAUACGUCCUACGGGAGAAAGCAGGGGAUCUUCGGACCUUGCGCUAAUGGAUGAGCCUAAGUCGGAUUAGCUAGUUGGGGGGGUAAAGGCCUACCAAGGCGACUAUCUGUAGCGGGUCUGAGAGGAUGAUCCGCCACACUGGGACUGAGACACGGCCCACACUCCUACGGGAGGCAGCAGUGGGGAAUAUUGGACAAUGGGGGGAACCCUGAUCCAGCCAUGCCGCGUGUGUGAAGAAGGCCUUAUGGUUGUAAAGCUCUUUAAGCGAGGAGGAGGCUACUGAGACUAAUACUCUUGGAUAGUGGACGUUACUCGCAGAAUAAGCACCGGCUAACUCUGUGCCAGCAGCCGCGGUAAUACAGAGGGUGCGAGCGUUAAUCGGAUUUACUGGGCGUAAAGCGUGCGUACGCGGCUUUUUAAGUCGGAUGUGACAUCCCCGAGCUUAACUUGGGAAUUGCAUUCGAUACUGGGAAGCUAGUGUAUGGG
This 630-nucleotide ribosomal RNA is filed under the name uncultured bacterium. Its description in RNAcentral is "bacterial SSU rRNA". It matches the Rfam family "Bacterial small subunit ribosomal RNA", at positions 28 to 652 of the family's 1533-position model. The record is from RNAcentral.